Crotalus tigris (Tiger rattlesnake) is the source of this 737-nucleotide long non-coding RNA. RefSeq lists it as uncharacterized. The transcript is spliced from 5 exons. NCBI's taxonomy places the organism in Eukaryota, Metazoa, Chordata, Lepidosauria, Squamata, Viperidae. The record is from RefSeq and is a predicted model, not a curated record.
GGCACAUCUUGAUCAUAUCGUAAAUAGAUUUAGCAUUGUGUCAAAGCUCCUUCCUCUCUAAUUUGAUGGCUCGCCAAUGGCUCUGAUGACUUAUUGAUGCUUGAUCGAUACCUUCUGAUGACAUUACCAACGGAUAAAGAGCUGGAUCCAAUAACAGCUUCCCGUGUUCUCAACAAAGAUCUGUAAGCUUGUCAGUUGGUGACAAAGCACAUGCCUUGAACAUGAAUGAUCUUGAGUUCAACCUGAAGUAUCUCCAAGUCAAAUUGAAAGAUCCUCUCUCAGAAAUCCACGGAAAAUCACCCCUAAGAAACGUUGCAAAGUGUCACCUGACGAGGACCAGCUGUAUUUGGAUGGGGCCAGAGGCCACUGAGAUUUGGAGACCAAGCACGGCUUGAUUGUGGCUGCUGAAAUCACCCCCCUUGUGUGAAGAUUUUGUUGUUUAACUCAAAGUUGACAAAUUUUCUUAGAACAUCUGGUGGAGAAACUGGUGCAGGGUCAAGAAUUUGGAGAGCUCGUUGCAAAGAACCAAAAGGUCAACUCAAGAGAAGAUCCAUUCUUCUAGCAUCUGCAUCUGGACAACUGAGGGCUUCAGGUGGCUGAGAAAGAUGGACAAAUGGAAAAAAGCAAAUGAGACAGAUAAUCUUACACGAAGACAAAGGUCCUUCUUCCAUUGUCUCUCUCCGAUGACACACAGCAUCUGAGAAAUUCGACACCUUCUCCCAGCCUUCCGUUGUGUG